ACACGAUCUCUAACUUCCCAGACUCUCCUCCUUGAUAUUUCCUUUCAAUCCCAUCCUUUCCCCGCUACGCUCCUGCCAGAUCUUCUCCCCGCGAGUAAUACGCCCCAGCCAGAUCCUCUUCUGCCGCUAUGCCCCGACUGCCGCUGCGCCCCGGCCGCCGCAGCAACCCACCUUCACAAGCCUGGGGGCAAGCCGGCACACUCGCGUUAUGGAUACAACCGACCAUCGACAGGAACUGCUCUAUGCAGAGACAUCGCUAGAUAUCCGGUGAUGUGGUUGAUGGAUCCGUGUUGUGCCUCCUGCUGUUCCCGACCUUCAACCAAGGGUGCCCUCACUCCCAGAUCCCCUGCCAUGAGUGUCACCUGCCAACCAUCUCCAACACCCGACUCCUCUCUUAAUCAGGUAAUCUUUGCAUGGACCUAUACACACUGGUUCUGAAAAUUAAAAAGAGAGAUUGGCAAAAUAAGUGGAUGAUGCAUGGCUGUGAUGAUGACACCAAGUUUCGAGAAUGGUGUCACUACUAGAUAGUUGUCUAUUAUGUUUUAGAAUGUUAUUGAUAUACACAACUUGUAUUCACCAAUUCAUUCUCCAUGUAAAGCUACAAAGUUAUUUAAUA
Molecule: long non-coding RNA, 616 nt
Organism: Lolium perenne
Lineage: Eukaryota; Viridiplantae; Streptophyta; Magnoliopsida; Poales; Poaceae
Source: RefSeq, a predicted model, not a curated record